This 465-nucleotide ribosomal RNA is filed under the name uncultured bacterium. Its description in RNAcentral is "partial 16S ribosomal RNA". It matches the Rfam family "Bacterial small subunit ribosomal RNA", at positions 31 to 507 of the family's 1533-position model. The record is from RNAcentral.
GAACGCUGGCGGCGUGCUUAACACAUGCAAGUCGACCGGAAAGGCCCUGCUUUUGUGGGGUGCUCGAGUGGCGAACGGGUGAGUAACACGUGAGUAACCUGCCCUUGACUUUGGGAUAACUUCAGGAAACUGGGGCUAAUACCGGAUAGGAGCUCCUGCUGCAUGGUGGGGGUUGGAAAGUUUCGGCGGUUGGGGAUGGACUCGCGGCUUAUCAGCUUGUUGGUGGGGUAGUGGCUUACCAAGGCUUUGACGGGUAGCCGGCCUGAGAGGGUGACCGGCCACAUUGGGACUGAGAUACGGCCCAGACUCCUACGGGAGGCAGCAGUGGGAAAUAUUGCACAAUGGGCGGAAGCCUGAUGCAGCAACGCCGCGUGCGGGAUGACGGCCUUCGGGUUGUAAACCGCUUUCGCCUGUGACGAAGCGUGAGUGACGGUAAUGGGUAAAGAAGCACCGGCUAACUACGUG